RNAcentral lists this transfer RNA (88 nucleotides) under Chrysiogenia bacterium. Its description in RNAcentral is "tRNA-Ser". It matches the Rfam family "tRNA". From Rfam's summary of the family: Transfer RNA (tRNA) molecules are approximately 80 nucleotides in length. Their secondary structure includes four short double-helical elements and three loops (D, anti-codon, and T loops). Lineage: Bacteria; Pseudomonadati; Chrysiogenota; Chrysiogenia. The record is from RNAcentral.
GGAGAGGUGAGAGAGCGGUUGAAUCUGCCUGACUCGAAAUCAGGUGUACCGCAAGGUACCGUGGGUUCGAAUCCCACCCUCUCCGCCA